This 72-nucleotide transfer RNA is filed under the name Pollicipes pollicipes. RNAcentral's name for it is "tRNA-Thr". It matches the Rfam family "tRNA". Rfam says of the family: Transfer RNA (tRNA) molecules are approximately 80 nucleotides in length. Their secondary structure includes four short double-helical elements and three loops (D, anti-codon, and T loops). Lineage: Eukaryota; Metazoa; Arthropoda; Thecostraca; Pollicipedomorpha; Pollicipedidae. The record is from RNAcentral.
GCCGCCUUAGCUCAGUGGUAGAGCACUGGUCUCGUAAACCAGGGGUCGUGAGUUCGAACCUCACAGGCGGCA